CCACCCGCCUCUGCCUCCCAAAGUGCUGGGAUUGCAGGCAUGAACCACCGCGCCCGGCCCUCCAUUUUGUACAAUGAUUAAAGAGGCGCAAAGACGAAGAAGGGAGAAAAAUGCCCGUGGGCAUCUUUUUUUCUUUUUAGUUAUCUUUGUUUUCUAGGCAAAAGAGCAGAGUGAAAGCAUCUGUCUGCUGAUUUCUCCACCAGUCUCUCCCUGUCGACCUGCACAGGGACACAAGUGCAAUCCAAUACUGAGACAAGGACUACUGUGGCUCUCUAGUCGCUUGAGAUGGGAGUGGCAGGGCGCUGGAUGGCCGAACGAAGACUGUCGGGGAAUAAGAGGCCUUCAACAUGCGAGAAGCAGAAACCAAUACGGAUCAACAUUCCCUACGGAUAUUCCAUAAGACUGAUUCAUAUUCAUAUUCCUGUAUUUCCUCAGUCCCUCCAAUAUUGCCUGGGAACUUCUGGUAACAGCAAACGGAGGCCCCAUAUGAAAAAAAACAGGAAAAGGUUUUGUCACAAUGGAAAAUACAUGCAGAGUAAAAGGGUAAGAUAUUUCUGAAGGAAAUCAGAAAAGCCCCAAAUCGAGACUUGAUUCUUAUUACUCAUAAGAGAAGACUGAAGCUUUAACAAUUAAUCUGCUUAGAACUGCAAUGUAAACUGCACGCAGCUAUUACCUGAUUUUUAUUUCCACUACUUUUCUUCCAUCACAAGCCCUAUGCAGAAAAAAAAGUGGUUGCAGAAGCCCUACAAGCUUUCACUAAAAGAUUACACUGCCAGGGGUUGACGAUUUGAUGUGCUGGUGGUCAUUUUUUCCAUUGGAGAUCCGCAAACUCUGAAACUUAAACGAUUUAACUACAAACACACAGCAAAUGAUGAAAAGAUAGCGGUCACCUCAGCUGAAAUUUGGUGGAAGUAAAAAGUACUUCUCUGGGUCUUCUGAGGAAGCUUCUGGUGUGAGAUGCAAACACUCUGAACUCCAGGGACCAAGCUCUAUUUCAUGCCAAGGUUACUCAACACCCAGAAGGCAGAACAGCGACCUCUCUCUCUCCAUCUGCAGAAGCCAAGCAAGCGUGUGGGCCUCCGUAUGCAUCCUUUCUUUUAUUCACUUUCUAAAUGCUGUAACGGCUACCAUCUACCAGGUGGUCACAAACCAUCUCUAAAGUCAAUCUGAGGUUAACCCACUCGACUUGUGAGGGAUCCACCUAUACUGCUUCUGCACCUGUAAUAUGACUAAGGAGACGGUGGCUGCACACGUAGUUAACACCGAUUGUACUGUGACUCCGCCUUUCCGCAGCAGCUCUCCGGCUCUUUAGAGUCCUUUUGAGCCAAGCUGGACGUGAGGCAUAAAGGAGCUCUUUGCAAACGCCAGGAGGAAUUUCUUCAGGGUGAAGUUAACUUUCAAUCGGCUUCAUUCUAAGAGAAAUAUGUGAAGCAAACAAACGGGAACUUUUUUUCUCAUCUUUUGCAUUUCAAGCAAAAACUAAUAAAAUUAGAUGUUUCCACCGUCAUGCUCAGUCUCGAAGCUGCCAGCAGAUCCCGCUUCUAACUUUUAACACAGGCACGCAGGAAAUCGGGAAAUCCCUGCAGUUCCCUCAGAAGCUACAGUAUCAGCAGUUCCUGAAGCGCAAACCAAAACCCAACAUCAUGUACCCCUCCAAAGAGCUCAGCCGGUCUGUUGAGGGACGGAAACAGCGGCGAGGUGCUCUGGAAGCCGUGACAGCCUGGCCGAAAUGAACCAGGUCCCUCCUGGUCGAGCCUACCUCCCUAGGGACAAGAAACGUACCUCUCUUCCCUCAUAUCCAGAGGAAGCAAUGGAGGGAUGUGGCGCUUAGACUCACUCUACUAUCCAGUCCAUCGAAGUCCUAAUAAUCUUCAGGAUGCGACAGAGUGAGACUCCGUCUCAACAAAACAAAACAAAACAACCCUAAGGAAAAGAGAGAAUGUACUGGAGGAUAGGAAGUAUCUAGGAGAACCUUCUUUUUUUUUUUUCUUAUAUUUAAAUUUAAGCCUUCAUUUAUAUAAAAUAAAA
This 2028-nucleotide long non-coding RNA is filed under the name Homo sapiens (human). Its description in RNAcentral is "HSALNT0362748". Lineage: Eukaryota; Metazoa; Chordata; Mammalia; Primates; Hominidae. The record is from RNAcentral.